UGAACCUCGGAUCAGGAAGGGUACAUUC
RNAcentral lists this ribosomal RNA (28 nucleotides) under Phyllosticta hymenocallidicola. Its description in RNAcentral is "partial 28S ribosomal RNA". Lineage: Eukaryota; Fungi; Ascomycota; Dothideomycetes; Botryosphaeriales; Phyllostictaceae. The record is from RNAcentral.